Molecule: long non-coding RNA, 628 nt
Organism: Phyllostomus discolor (pale spear-nosed bat)
Lineage: Eukaryota; Metazoa; Chordata; Mammalia; Chiroptera; Phyllostomidae
Exons: 3
Source: RefSeq, a predicted model, not a curated record
ACAAACCACAAAUUGGACACCUUGACUGGGUUCUCUAUGCAGAAUCUCACAAGGCAAAAAUCAAGGUGUGAGCCACCAGGCUGGGGAAGAAUUCCUUUGCAUUCAGCUUGUUGGCAGAAUCCAGUUGGCAGAAUCCUAGCUGGCUGUCGUCCAAGAGUUAUUCUCCGCCCCUAGAGGCUGAGUGCAUUCCUUCCCAUGUGGACCCUCCAUCUUACACAGCCACAGCAUGUCCAGUCGACUGCUUCCCAUCUCUUUGACCUGCCCUUCCAGUACAGCCAGAGAAAAUGCUCUGCUUUUAAGGCAUUCAUGUAUUUAGAGUAAACCCAACCAUAAAAUUCUCCCUUUUGCUAUAGAAAGUAAAACAAUCUUGGGAGUGACAUCUUUUCAUAGUGACAGGCUGACCAACACUCAACAAGGAGGGGAAUACACAUGACAGAGGGUCACUGAGGGUCGUAACACCCCACCUCCAACAAUCCUCUUCCAGGCCUCGCCCAUGAAAAUCUCCCAUCCCCUUUGUUCCAAUAUACUCAGUCCCUUUGGCGACCCUCAAAUCACGUUCUGACCUCUAGUCAUCCUAGAUCCCUGAAGCAGAUAGGAAAUAAGAAUGAGACAGGCUUUGAGCAACACA